CAGUGUCAGAUUUUAGCGCUUGUAGGAUUUCCCCAUUGAUUUACAUUGAUUUAAUAUAUUUAUUUAUGUAUCCUCUCUUCUGACGUCAACAUGAAUGACUACUUUUCUACACUUAAAAAAUUUUAUAAAGUGGAUUUUCAAUUGAAGCAGGAAAUAAUACUGAAGGAAGACCAACACCAGAGAUGAAAGGUUUGAAACUACAAGACAGAAGAGUACCUCCUAUUCAAACAGGUGAAGAAAAAGCUCCAAUAAGGAGGUGAUCAGCAUAGAACAAAAACCCACGACUCGGCACAACGAGGGAAACAUGAACAACUCUCAUGGUGACACACUGAAGAUGUGCUGGAAUAGGAGGAUCG
Poecilia reticulata (guppy) is the source of this 356-nucleotide long non-coding RNA. RefSeq lists it as uncharacterized. The record is from RefSeq and is a predicted model, not a curated record. NCBI's taxonomy places the organism in Eukaryota, Metazoa, Chordata, Actinopteri, Cyprinodontiformes, Poeciliidae.